Molecule: long non-coding RNA, 265 nt
Filed under: Brassica napus (rape)
Lineage: Eukaryota; Viridiplantae; Streptophyta; Magnoliopsida; Brassicales; Brassicaceae
Description: long non-coding RNA (BNAP_LNC017345)
Source: RNAcentral
UACGUAUUUGUACUCUUUUUACCUUACUAUGGUUUUUCCCAUUGGGUUUUCCAUGACUAGGUUUUUUUUAACGAGGCACUACGUAAUACAAGAUGGAUGAUCAAGGGGGAGUGUUAUAAGAUAAACAUUGAAAUGAUCAUCCACUCAUUUACCAACUCAAGCACUAUGAUCAUCUACUCAUCAAGCACUAUGAUCAUCCACUCAUUUACCAAAUUAAGCACCAUCUUUGUUAUUUUAUUUAUUGUUGUUCACUAUAAAUACCAUC